Molecule: ribosomal RNA, 2186 nt
Filed under: Candidatus Thiodiazotropha endolucinida
Lineage: Bacteria; Pseudomonadati; Pseudomonadota; Gammaproteobacteria; Chromatiales; Sedimenticolaceae
Also listed under: 1 other name
Description: partial 23S ribosomal RNA
Rfam family: Bacterial large subunit ribosomal RNA
Source: RNAcentral
GGUCAAGUGACUAAGCGUGCACGGUGGAUGCCUUGGCAGUCAGAGGCGAUGAAGGACGUGGUAAUCUGCGAUAAGCGUUGGUAAGCCGAUAAACAGGCAUUGACCCAGCGAUUUCCGAAUGGGGAAACCCACUCACAUAAGUGAGUAUUCCGGAACUGAAUACAUAGGUUCCGGGAGGCGAACCCGGGGAACUGAAACAUCUAAGUACCCGGAGGAAAAGAAAUCAAUUGAGAUUCCCCUAGUAGCGGCGAGCGAACGGGGAUUAGCCCUUAAGCUUAUGAUGGUUUAGCGGAACGCUCUGGAAAGUGCGGCAACAAAGGGUGAAAGCCCCGUACGCGAAAGGCCAUUGUAAGUGAAAUCGAGUAGGUCGGGACACGAGAAAUCUUGACUGAACCGUCUUCGGACAAGGGGGGACCAUCCUCCAAGGCUAAAUACUCCUGACUGACCGAUAGUGAACCAGUACCGUGAGGGAAAGGCGAAAAGAACCCCGUUGAGGGGAGUGAAAUAGAUCCUGAAACCGUGUACGUACAAGCAGUGGGAGCCUGACCACUUAAUCAUUUUGAUAAGUGGUUUAUGUCGCUUAAUCCAGAGUGAUUAAGUGGUCAGGUGACUGCGUACCUUUUGUAUAAUGGGUCAGCGACUUACAUUCUGUGGCAAGGUUAACCGCAUAGGGUAGCCGUAGGGAAACCGAGUCUUAAUAGGGCGCCAUAGUCGCAGGGUGUAGACCCGAAACCGGGCGAUCUAGCCAUGAGCAGGUUGAAGAUCAGGUAACACUGAUUGGAGGACCGAACCCACCGUCGUUGAAAAGCCGGGGGAUGACUUGUGGCUAGGAGUGAAAGGCUAAUCAAGCCCGGAGAUAGCUGGUUCUCCUCGAAAGCUAUUUAGGUAGCGCCUCGUGUCUCACCAUUGGGGGUAGAGCACUGUUUGGGCUAGGGGGUCAUCCCGACUUACCAACCCCAUGCAAACUCCGAAUACCAAUGAGUGCAAUCACGGGAGACACACGGCGGGUGCUAACGUCCGUCGUGGAAAGGGAAACAACCCAGACCGUCAGCUAAGGUCCCCAAGUAAUAGUUAAGUGGGAAACGAUGUGAGAAGGCCCAGACAGCCAGGAGGUUGGCUUAGAAGCAGCCAUCCUUUAAAGAAAGCGUAAUAGCUCACUGGUCGAGUCGGCUCGCGCGGAAGAUGUAACGGGGCUCAAACUAUUCACCGAAGCUACGGGUACCUGACCACUCACGAGUGGUCAGGUGCGGUAGAGGAGCGUCCUGUAAGCCGUUGAAGGUCAAGCCGGGAGGCAGGCUGGAGGUAUCAGGAGUGCGAAUGCUGACAUGAGUAACGAUAAAGGGGGUGAGAGGCCCCCUCGCCGGAAGACCAAGGGUUCCUGCGCAACGCUAAUCGGCGCAGGGUGAGUCGGCCCCUAAGGUGAGGUCGAAAGACGUAAUCGAUGGGAAACGGAUUAAUAUUUCCGUACCCCUUUUGACUGCGAUGGAGUGACGGAGAAGGCUAGGCCAGCAAGGUGAUGGUUAUCCUUGUUUAAGGUCGUAGGCUGAGGGUUCAGGCAAAUCCGGACCCUCAAGGCCGAGAACCGAUGACGACUGAUCUUUAAGAUCGGGAAGUGGUCGAUGCCAGGCUUCCAGGAAAAACUUCUAAGCUUCAGGUCAAAAGGGACCGUACCCCAAACCGACACAGGUGGUCAGGUAGAGAAUACCAAGGCGCUUGAGAGAACUCGGGUGAAGGAACUAGGCAAAAUGGUACCGUAACUUCGGGAGAAGGUACGCCCCCGCCGGUGAUCGGACUUGCUCCGUAAGCUAGUGGGGGUCGCAGAGACCAGUUGGCUGCGACUGUUUAUUAAAAACACAGCACUGUGCAAACACGAAAGUGGACGUAUACGGUGUGACGCCUGCCCGGUGCCGGAAGGUUAAUUGAUGGGGUUACCUCACCACCAAAUUGCUCUUAUGUACUACAUAUAUGUGAUUCAAAGCUUACUAUGAAGCAUAUCAAGUCAAAGAGUUUGCGAGAGUUCGCGAAGCUAAACUAAAGCGCAACAAAAGAAUGCGUCAGAUGUUAAUGCAACGUGUGCGAGAGCAAUUUGGUGGUGAGGGAAGCUCUUGAUCGAAGCCCCGGUAAACGGCGGCCGUAACUAUAACGGUCCUAAGGUAGCGAAAUUCCUUGUCGGGUAAGUUCCGACC